RNAcentral lists this ribosomal RNA (464 nucleotides) under uncultured bacterium. RNAcentral's name for it is "partial 16S ribosomal RNA". It matches the Rfam family "Bacterial small subunit ribosomal RNA", at positions 29 to 507 of the family's 1533-position model. The record is from RNAcentral.
ACGAACGCUGGCGGCGUGCUUAACACAUGCAAGUCGAACGGAAAGGCCCUGCUUGCAGGGUACUCGAGUGGCGAACGGGUGAGUAACACGUGGGUGAUCUGCCCUGCACUUCGGGAUAAGCCUGGGAAACUGGGUCUAAUACCGGAUAGGAGCCAUUUUUAGUGUGAUGGUUGGAAAGUUUUUUCGGCGUAGGAUGAGCUCGCGGCCUAUCAGCUUGUUGGUGGGGUAAUGGCCUACCAAGGCGGCGACGGGUAGCCGGCCUGAGAGGGUGGACGGCCACAUUGGGACUGAGAUACGGCCCAGACUCCUACGGGAGGCAGCAGUGGGGAAUAUUGCACAAUGGGCGCAAGCCUGAUGCAGCGACGCCGCGUGGGGGAUGACGGUCUUCGGGUUGUAAACUCCUUUCGCUAGGGACGAAGCUUUUUGUGACGGUACCUAGAUAAGAAGCACCGGCUAACUACGUG